This 189-nucleotide unclassified non-coding RNA is filed under the name plant metagenome. RNAcentral's name for it is "partial contains small subunit ribosomal RNA and internal transcribed spacer 1". The record is from RNAcentral.
AGUCGUACAAGUUCAGUAGGUGAACCUGCGGAAGGAUCCAAUUGAAAGAAUUAGGGGCGUUCGCGGCCAAGUUCUCACCCUUUGUAUACCGAAACCAUGUUGCUUUGGCAGGCCCCUGCAUUUCUCGGGCCUGCCAGAGGUUAUAAACCCUAGAAUCUCUGCUGUCUGAGUACUAUACAAUAGUUAAAA